Molecule: ribosomal RNA, 466 nt
Filed under: uncultured bacterium
Lineage: Bacteria
Description: bacterial SSU rRNA
Rfam family: Bacterial small subunit ribosomal RNA
Source: RNAcentral
CCUANGGGUGGCAGCAGUGAGGAAUAUUGCGCAAUGGGGGAAACCCUGACGCAGCGACGCCGCGUGGGUGAUGAAGGCCCUUGGGUCGUAAAGCCCUGUCAAGUGGGAAGAAGUGCUAGCGGGUUAAUACCCCGCUAGUUUGACGGUACCACUAAAGGAAGCACCGGCUAACUCCGUGCCAGCAGCCGCGGUAAUACGGAGGGUGCGAGCGUUGUUCGGAAUUACUGGGCGUAAAGAGCGCGUAGGCGGCCAGGUAAGUCAGAUGUGAAAGCCCACGGCUCAACCGUGGAAGUGCAUCUGAAACUGCUUGGCUUGAGUAUGGGAGGGGAAAGUGGAAUUCCUGGUGUAGAGGUGAAAUUCGUAGAUAUCAGGAGGAACACCGGUGGCGAAGGCGACUUUCUGGACCAAUACUGACGCUGAGGCGCGAAAGCGUGGGGAGCAAACAGGAUUAGAUACCCCGNUANUC